GAAGAUUGGUUAACUUACAAACAAAAUCGAUAUGUAGAAAAUAAAAUAAAAUUAUAAGAAAAUGGAGAAGAUAUUCAUGGAUUCAUGCUAUUGCUGAAGCUAGCUCACGGAUGAUGGGCUGAGUAAUCGUGGCGUGCAAGCCGACAUAAAAAGCACACAUCAUGAAUCUGUAUAGUUUACGGUCCCUUUCCAGACAAUUCUUUAUCCC
This 208-nucleotide long non-coding RNA is filed under the name Capsella rubella. RNAcentral's name for it is "long non-coding RNA (CRUB_LNC001420)". The record is from RNAcentral. Lineage: Eukaryota; Viridiplantae; Streptophyta; Magnoliopsida; Brassicales; Brassicaceae.